UACGUAGGGACCGAGCGUUGUCCGGAUUCAUUGGGCGUAAAGAGCUCGUAGGCGGCCACUCAAGUCGAAUGUGAAACCUCGAGGCUUAACCUCGAGCCUGCAUUCGAUACUGGGCGGCUAGAGUCUGGUAGGGGGAUCUGGAAUUCCUGGUGUAGCGGUGGAAUGCGCAGAUAUCAGGAGGAACACCGGUGGCGAAGGCGGGAUCCUGGGCCAGUACUGACGCUGAGGAGCGAAAAGCGUGGGGAGCAAACAGG
This 254-nucleotide ribosomal RNA is filed under the name uncultured bacterium. Its description in RNAcentral is "partial 16S ribosomal RNA". It matches the Rfam family "Bacterial small subunit ribosomal RNA", at positions 524 to 776 of the family's 1533-position model. The record is from RNAcentral.